ACAGAGGGUGCUAGCGUUGUUCGGAAUCAUUGGGCGUAAAGGGCGUGUAGGCGGUUUGUUAAGUCAUGUGUGAAAUCCCUCGGCUUAACCGAGGACGUGCGGAAGAAACUGCAAGGCUCGAGUCCGGAAGAGGGGGGCGGAAUUCCCAGUGUAGCGGUGAAAUGCGUAGAUAUUGGGAGGAACACCAGUGGCGAAGGCGGUCCCCUGGGCCGGAACUGACGCUGAGGCGCGAAAGCGUGGGUAGCAAACGGGA
RNAcentral lists this ribosomal RNA (253 nucleotides) under uncultured prokaryote. RNAcentral describes it as "partial 16S ribosomal RNA". It matches the Rfam family "Bacterial small subunit ribosomal RNA", at positions 525 to 777 of the family's 1533-position model. The record is from RNAcentral.